AGAGUUUGAUCCUGGCUCAGAGUGAACGCUGGCGGCAGGCCUAGUACAUGCAAGUCGAACGGCAGCACAGCAGAGCUUGCUCUGUGGGUGGCGAGUGGCGGACGGGUGAGGAAUACGUGGGAAUCUGCCCAGUCGUGGGGGAUAACGUAGGGAAACUUACGCUAAUACCGCAUGCGCCCUUCGGGGGAAAGCCGGGGACCUUCGGGCCUGGCGCGAUUGGAUGAGCCCACGUCGGAUUAGCUAGUUGGCGGGGUAAAGGCCCACCAAGGCGACGAUCCGUAGCUGGUCUGAGAGGAUGAUCAGCCACACUGGAACUGAGACACGGUCCAGACUCCUACGGGAGGCAGCAGUAGGGAAUAUUGGACAAUGGGCGCAAGCCUGAUCCAGCCAUGCCGCGUGAGUGAAGAAGGCCCUCGGGUUGUAAAGCUCUUUUGUCCGGAAAGAAAAGCGCCGGGUUAAUACCCUGGUGUCCUGACGGUACCGGAAGAAUAAGCACCGGCUAACUUCGUG
This 510-nucleotide ribosomal RNA is filed under the name uncultured bacterium. Its description in RNAcentral is "bacterial SSU rRNA". It matches the Rfam family "Bacterial small subunit ribosomal RNA", at positions 8 to 507 of the family's 1533-position model. The record is from RNAcentral.